Molecule: ribosomal RNA, 592 nt
Filed under: uncultured Debaryomyces
Lineage: Eukaryota; Fungi; Ascomycota; Saccharomycetes; Saccharomycetales; Saccharomycetaceae
Description: eukaryotic LSU rRNA
Rfam family: 5.8S ribosomal RNA (bases 225-378)
Source: RNAcentral
GGUGAACCUGCGGAAGGAUCAUUACAGUAUUCUUUUUGCCNUCGCUUAAUUGCGCGGCGAAAAAAACCUUACACACAGUGUUUUUUGUUAUUACAAGAACUUUUGCUUUGGUCUGGACUAGAAAUAGUUUGGGCCAGAGGUUUACUGAACUAAACUUCAAUAUUUAUAUUGAAUUGUUAUUUAUUUAAUUGUCAAUUUGGUGAUUAAAUUCAAAAAAUCUUCAAAACUUUCAACAACGGAUCUCUUGGUUCUCGCAUCGAUGAAGAACGCAGCGAAAUGCGAUAAUUAAUAUUAAUUGCASAUUUUCGUGAAUCAUCGAAUCUUUGAACGCACAUUGCGCCCUCUGGUAUUCCAGAGGGCAUGCCUGUUAGAGCGUCAUUUCUCUCCCAAACCUUCGGGUUUGGUAUCGAGUGAUACUCUUAGUUGACCUAGGCGCCUGCUUGAAAAGUAUUGGCAUGAGUGGUACUGGAUAGUGCUAUAUGACUUUCAAUUUAUUAGGUUUAUCCAACUCGUUGAAUAGUUUAAUGGAAUAUUUCUCGGUAUUCUAGGCUCGGCCUUACAAUAUAACAAACAAGUUUGACCUCAAAUCAGG